UAGGGAAUCUUCGGCAAUGGGGGCAACCCUGACCGAGCAACGCCGCGUGAGUGAAGAAGGUUUUCGGAUCGUAAAGCUCUGUUGUAAGAGAAGAACGUGUGUGAGAGUGGAAAGUUCACACAGUGACGGUAACUUACCAGAAAGGGACGGCUAACUAACGUGCCAG
Molecule: ribosomal RNA, 166 nt
Filed under: uncultured bacterium
Lineage: Bacteria
Description: partial 16S rRNA
Rfam family: Bacterial small subunit ribosomal RNA
Source: RNAcentral